GUGAUCUUAGUUUAAAGUUAAAAUUUCUGCUUUGCGCGCAGAGGAUCCAGAGAUUCUGGAGACCACA
This 67-nucleotide transfer RNA is filed under the name Holothuria pervicax. RNAcentral describes it as "tRNA-Ala". It matches the Rfam family "tRNA". Rfam says of the family: Transfer RNA (tRNA) molecules are approximately 80 nucleotides in length. Their secondary structure includes four short double-helical elements and three loops (D, anti-codon, and T loops). The record is from RNAcentral. Lineage: Eukaryota; Metazoa; Echinodermata; Holothuroidea; Aspidochirotida; Holothuriidae.